UUACCUGAAGGCUUGGGUUCAUGGGGUAUGUGGGGUGCACCUGCCUUCCUGCAGCAGGGGUGGGUGCAGAUUGGGGGGUCCAUAUCUGCAGCAGGGUAGGAAGGGUGCUGGCAGUGGGAACGCAGGGCACGCUGGGGGGUUGUGGAAGUUUUCUCUUGCCUUUGAAGCAGCAUUUAACCAGGUCAGGAGCUGGCUGCUCAUCGAGGCAGGACAGAAGUCUUUCCUUGCUUCACCAUGAUGGGACCCAGUUCCGUUUCUGGGUGGCUUUUGCUCUCCAGUGCUGUCAUCAGCAGUGUCCCAGUGCAACCCAAGGUUUCCUGCUGGGAAUGUCUCAUUUUCCGUGGCUGAGAGCCUUGCUCUUGUGGGCGUUGAUUUGGUCGUUGCACAGAGGAAGAGAGGUGGAAGCAGCAGGAUUUGAU
Molecule: long non-coding RNA, 419 nt
Filed under: Gallus gallus (chicken)
Lineage: Eukaryota; Metazoa; Chordata; Aves; Galliformes; Phasianidae
Description: long non-coding RNA NONGGAT005808
Source: RNAcentral